AGCGAACGCUGGCGGCAGGCUUAACACAUGCAAGUCGAACGGGCUUCUUCGGAAGUCAGUGGCAGACGGGUGAGUAACACGUGGGAACGUGCCCUUCGGUUCGGAAUAACUCAGGGAAACUUGAGCUAAUACCGGAUACGCCCUUAUGGGGAAAGGUUUACUGCCGAAGGAUCGGCCCGCGUCUGAUUAGCUUGUUGGUGGGGUAACGGCCUACCAAGGCGACGAUCAGUAGCUGGUCUGAGAGGAUGAUCAGCCACACUGGGACUGAGACACGGCCCAGACUCCUACGGGAGGCAGCAGUGGGGAAUAUUGGACAAUGGGCGCAAGACUGAUCCAGCCAUGCCGCGUGAGUGAUGAAGGCCUUAGGGUUGUAAAGCUCUUUUGUCCGGGACGAUAAUGACGGUACCGGAAGAAUAAGCCCCGGCUAACUUCGUG
Molecule: ribosomal RNA, 435 nt
Filed under: uncultured bacterium
Lineage: Bacteria
Description: partial 16S ribosomal RNA
Rfam family: Bacterial small subunit ribosomal RNA
Source: RNAcentral